RNAcentral lists this transfer RNA (67 nucleotides) under Marmota monax (woodchuck). RNAcentral's name for it is "tRNA.Val". Lineage: Eukaryota; Metazoa; Chordata; Mammalia; Rodentia; Sciuridae. The record is from RNAcentral.
GGUUAUGGCUCAGUGGUAGAGCGCUCACCUCACACGUGCAAAGGCCUGGGUUCGAUCCUCAGCACCA